Molecule: ribosomal RNA, 253 nt
Filed under: uncultured bacterium
Lineage: Bacteria
Description: partial 16S ribosomal RNA
Rfam family: Bacterial small subunit ribosomal RNA
Source: RNAcentral
UACGUAGGGCGCAAGCGUUAUCCGGAAUUAUUGGGCGUAAAGAGCGCGUAGGCGGUUUGUCGCGUCUGCCGUGAAAGUCCGGGGCUCAACUCCGGAUCUGCGGUGGGUACGGGCAGACUAGAGUGAUGUAGGGGAGACUGGAAUUCCUGGUGUAGCGGUGAAAUGCGCAGAUAUCAGGAGGAACACCGAUGGCGAAGGCAGGUCUCUGGGCAUUAACUGACGCUGAGGAGCGAAAGCAUGGGGAGCGAACAGG